AGAGUUUGAUCCUGGCUCAGGACGAACGCUGGCGGCGUGCCUAACACAUGCAAGUCGAACGAGAAUCUUUGGGAUGAUUCUUUCGGGAUGAAUUCCAAAGAGGAAAGUGGCGGACGGGCGAGUAACGCGUGAGUAACCUGCCCAUAAGAGGGGGAUAAUCCAUGGAAACGUGGACUAAUACCGCAUAUUGUAGUUAAGUUGCAUGACUUGAUUAUGAAAGAUUUAUCGCUUAUGGAUGGACUCGCGUCAGAUUAGAUAGUUGGUGAGGUAACGGCUCACCAAGUCAACGAUCUGUAGCCGAACUGAGAGGUUGAUCGGCCGCAUUGGGACUGAGACACGGCCCAGACUCCUACGGGAGGCAGCAGUGGGGAAUAUUGCGCAAUGGGGGCAACCCUGACGCAGCAACGCCGCGUGCAGGAAGAAGGUCUUCGGAUUGUAAACUGUUGUCGCAAGGGAAGAAGACAGUGACGGUACCUUGUGAGAAAGUCACGGCUAACUACGUGCCGGCAGCCGCGGUAAUACGUAGGUGACAAGCGUUGUCCGGAUUUACUGGGUGUAAAGGGCGCGUAGGCGGACUGUCAAGUCAGUCGUGAAAUACCGGGGCUUAACCCCGGGGCUGCGAUUGAAACUGACAGCCUUGAGUAUCGGAGAGGUAAGCGGAAUUCCUAGUGUAGCGGUGAAAUGCGUAGAUAUUAGGAGGAACACCAGUGGCGAAGGCGGCUUUCUGGACGACAACUGACGCUGAGGCGCGAAAGUGUGGGGAGCAAACAAGAUUAGAUACCCUGGUAGUCCACACCGUAAACGAUCC
RNAcentral lists this ribosomal RNA (808 nucleotides) under uncultured bacterium. RNAcentral describes it as "bacterial SSU rRNA". It matches the Rfam family "Bacterial small subunit ribosomal RNA", at positions 8 to 812 of the family's 1533-position model. The record is from RNAcentral.